This 77-nucleotide transfer RNA is filed under the name Leucothrix mucor. Its description in RNAcentral is "tRNA-Pro". It matches the Rfam family "tRNA". Rfam says of the family: Transfer RNA (tRNA) molecules are approximately 80 nucleotides in length. Their secondary structure includes four short double-helical elements and three loops (D, anti-codon, and T loops). Further hydrogen bonds mediate the characteristic L-shaped molecular structure. tRNAs have two regions of fundamental functional importance: the anti-codon, which is responsible for specific mRNA codon recognition, and the 3' end, to which the tRNAs corresponding amino acid is attached (by aminoacyl-tRNA synthetases). tRNAs cope with the degeneracy of the genetic code in two manners: having more than one tRNA (with a specific anti-codon) for a particular amino acid; and 'wobble' base-pairing, i.e. permitting non-standard base-pairing at the 3rd anti-codon position. Lineage: Bacteria; Pseudomonadati; Pseudomonadota; Gammaproteobacteria; Thiotrichales; Thiotrichaceae. The record is from RNAcentral.
CGGGGCGUAGCGCAGUCUGGUAGCGCACCACACUGGGGGUGUGGGGGUCGCAAGUUCGAACCUUGCCGUCCCGACCA